Molecule: long non-coding RNA, 199 nt
Organism: Passer domesticus (house sparrow)
Lineage: Eukaryota; Metazoa; Chordata; Aves; Passeriformes; Passeridae
Exons: 3
Source: RefSeq, a predicted model, not a curated record
CCCCCCAAACCCCAUAAAAUCGACCCAAAACCCCGCAGGGGCCCUGGCUGAGCCUGAAAUCUGCUAUGUGCUGGAUGCCGAGCUCUUCCUCUACAGCCUCAUCCUCACCGGCCUCUACGUCUGCCUCAGGUUCAUGACGCAGCGAUUGUGGAGAGCGGCUGAGCAGAAGGAGGAAGAGGCCGUUUAUGCCGUGAGUCAC